GACGAACGCUGGCGGCGUGCUUAACACAUGCAAGUCGAACGGAAAGGCCUUUUCGGAGGUACUCGAGUGGCGAACGGGUGAGUAACACGUGGGUGAGCUGCCCUGCACUCUGGGAUAAGCCUGUGAAACUGGGUCUAAUACCGGAUAGGACCGAACAGUAGUUUGUGUGGUGGAAAGUUUUUUCGGUGUAGGAUGAGCCCGCGGCCGAUCAGCUGGUGGGUGGGGUAAUGGCCUACCAAAGCGGCGACGGGUAGCCGGACUGAGAGGUUGGUCGGCCACCUUGGGACUGAGAGGCGGCCCAGACUCCUACGGGAGGCAGCGGUGGGGAAUAUUGCACAAUGGGCGCAAGCCUGAUGAGGCGGCGCCGCGUGGGUGAUGACGGCCUUCGGGUGGAAAACGCGUGUCGCCAGGGACGAAGCGUUUUGUGACGGUACCUGGAGAAGAAGCACCGGCUAACUACGUG
This 463-nucleotide ribosomal RNA is filed under the name uncultured bacterium. RNAcentral's name for it is "partial 16S ribosomal RNA". It matches the Rfam family "Bacterial small subunit ribosomal RNA", at positions 28 to 507 of the family's 1533-position model. The record is from RNAcentral.